GACGAACGCUGGCGGCGUGCUUAACACAUGCAAGUCGAACGGAAAGGCCCUUCGGGGUACUCGAGUGGCGAACGGGUGAGUAACACGUGGGUGAUCUGCCCUGCACUUUGGGAUAAGCCUGGGAAACUGGGUCUAAUACCGAAUAAGACCACGCGCUUCAUGGUGUGUGGUGGAAAGCUUUUGCGGUGUGGGAUGGGCCCGCGGCCUAUCAGCUUGUUGGUGGGGUAAUGGCCUACCAAGGCGACGACGGGUAGCCGGCCUGAGAGGGUGACCGGCCACACUGGGACUGAGAUACGGCCCAGACUCCUACGGGAGGCAGCGGUGGGGAAUAUUGCACAAUGGGCGCAAGCCUGAUGCAGCGACGCCGCGUGGGGGAUGACGGCCUUCGGGUUGUAAACCUCUUUCAAUAGGGACGAAGCGCAAGUGACGGUACCUAUAGAAGAAGCACCGGCCAACUACGUG
Molecule: ribosomal RNA, 462 nt
Filed under: uncultured bacterium
Lineage: Bacteria
Description: partial 16S ribosomal RNA
Rfam family: Bacterial small subunit ribosomal RNA
Source: RNAcentral